UACGAAGGGGGCUAGCGUUGUUCGGAAUGACUGGGCGUAAAGGGCGCGUAGGCGGCUUGCACCGUCAGAUGUGAAAUUCCUGGGCUUAACCUGGGGGCUGCAUUUGAUACGUGUGGGCUUGAGUGCGGAAGAGGGUCGUGGAAUUCCCAGUGUAGAGGUGAAAUUCGUAGAUAUUGGGAAGAACACCGGUGGCGAAGGCGGCGACCUGGUCCGUGACUGACGCUGAGGCGCGAAAGCGUGGGGAGCAAACGGG
This 253-nucleotide ribosomal RNA is filed under the name uncultured bacterium. RNAcentral describes it as "partial 16S ribosomal RNA". It matches the Rfam family "Bacterial small subunit ribosomal RNA", at positions 524 to 776 of the family's 1533-position model. The record is from RNAcentral.